AUUGAACGCUGGCGGCAUGCCUUACACAUGCAAGUCGAACGGCAGCACGGGUGCUUGCACCUGGUGGCGAGUGGCGAACGGGUGAGUAAUACAUCGGAACGUACCUUAUCGUGGGGGAUAACGCAGCGAAAGCUGUGCUAAUACCGCAUACGCCCUGAGGGGGAAAGCGGGGGAUCGCAAGACCUCGCGCGAUUAGAGCGGCCGAUGCCCGAUUAGCUUGUUGGUGGGGUAAAAGCCCACCAAGGCGACGAUCAGUAGCUGGUCUGAGAGGACGAUCAGCCACACUGGACUGAGACACGGCCCAGACUCCUACGGGAGGCAGCAGUGGGGAAUUUUGGACAAUGGGGGCAACCCUGAUCCAGCAAUGCCGCGUGAGUGAAGAAGGCCUUCGGGUUGUAAAGCUCUUUUGUCAGGGAAGAAACACCGGCUCUAACACAGUCCGGGAAUGACGGUACCUGAAGAAUAAGCACCGGCUAACUACGUGCCAGCCGCCGCAGUAA
Molecule: ribosomal RNA, 500 nt
Filed under: uncultured bacterium
Lineage: Bacteria
Description: partial 16S ribosomal RNA
Rfam family: Bacterial small subunit ribosomal RNA
Source: RNAcentral